This 73-nucleotide transfer RNA is filed under the name Armatimonadota bacterium. Its description in RNAcentral is "Armatimonadetes bacterium (activated sludge metagenome) tRNA-Ile". It matches the Rfam family "tRNA". From Rfam's summary of the family: Transfer RNA (tRNA) molecules are approximately 80 nucleotides in length. Their secondary structure includes four short double-helical elements and three loops (D, anti-codon, and T loops). Further hydrogen bonds mediate the characteristic L-shaped molecular structure. tRNAs have two regions of fundamental functional importance: the anti-codon, which is responsible for specific mRNA codon recognition, and the 3' end, to which the tRNAs corresponding amino acid is attached (by aminoacyl-tRNA synthetases). tRNAs cope with the degeneracy of the genetic code in two manners: having more than one tRNA (with a specific anti-codon) for a particular amino acid; and 'wobble' base-pairing, i.e. permitting non-standard base-pairing at the 3rd anti-codon position. Lineage: Bacteria; Bacillati; Armatimonadota. The record is from RNAcentral.
GGGCCCAUAGCUCAAGGGUCAGAGCAGCCCGCUCAUAACGGGUUGGUUGCAGGUUCGAAUCCUGUUGGGCCCA